Non-coding RNA from Myotis davidii, 76 nucleotides. The record is from Rfam. NCBI's taxonomy places the organism in Eukaryota, Metazoa, Chordata, Mammalia, Chiroptera, Vespertilionidae.
GAGACACUUCUGUGGGGCAGGACUUGCUUCAGUGGGGCUUUGGUGCCCACUGAGUCUUCCCCUUGAGUGUAUUGCU